GACGAACGCUGGCGGCGUGCUUAACACAUGCAAGUCGAACGGAAAGGCCCUGCUUUUGUGGGGUGCUCGAGUGGCGAACGGGUGAGUAACACGUGGGUAACCUGCCCUUGACUUUGGGAUAACUUCAGGAAACUGGGGCUAAUACCGGAUAGGAGCUCCUGCUGCAUGGUGGGGGUUGGAAAGUUUCGGCGGUUGGGGAUGGACUCGCGGCUUAUCAGCUUGUUGGUGGGGUAGUGGCUUACCAAGGCUUUGACGGGUAGCCGGCCUGAGAGGGUGACCGGCCACAUUGGGACUGAGAUACGGCCCAGACUCCUACGGGAGGCAGCAGUGGGGAAUAUUGCACAAUGGGCGGAAGCCUGAUGCAGCAACGCCGCGUGCGGGAUGACGGCCUUCGGGCUGCAAACCGCUUUCGCCUGUGACGAAGCGUGAGUGACGGUAAUGGGUAAAGAAGCACCGGCUAACUACGUG
RNAcentral lists this ribosomal RNA (468 nucleotides) under uncultured bacterium. Its description in RNAcentral is "partial 16S ribosomal RNA". It matches the Rfam family "Bacterial small subunit ribosomal RNA", at positions 28 to 507 of the family's 1533-position model. The record is from RNAcentral.